This is a non-coding RNA of Pantherophis guttatus, 5226 nucleotides long. Lineage: Eukaryota; Metazoa; Chordata; Lepidosauria; Squamata; Colubridae. The record is from RefSeq and is a predicted model, not a curated record.
UGUAUGUUAUGUGUAUCUAAGAUGGUUUGUUUGGUUUUACAAUAUACAUUGUAUGAAUCCAGCCAUUUUACUAAGCAAGCCAUGAUUAAAAUAAAGAUUUGGCAGGAUAUGUGAACCAAGUCACAGAAAGUACUUUCUCUUCAGCCUGUUUGAGAACCAACAGGAGAGGUUUUUUUCCUGAAAUCAGGCAAAGGUCUUGUUCAAGAAGUGCCACAUAGCUAAUCACCAUGGGCUUGGCUCCUAGCAUUUUUACCAUAAGAGCAAAGUCUGAACCUUACCUUCAGAUAAUUAAUGAGCAAUGUUUGCAGGACCUUCAAGAGUAGACUGGAAAAUAGGACUCUAUAUUGAUUCCCCCCCUUUUUUAAAAAAAUUUUUACAUGGUUGUCACAACUUUGAAGAUGCCCUCUUUGUUUGUGAUUUUGAAUAUUAGGAGCCACAGUGGUAGUAGGAGCAAUAAUAUGAAAUGGUAAACUUGGAAUUUUGUUUUUCUUGGGGGGCAGAUGAAAUGUUGUGGCCUUCAAAUCAGUAUUGACUUCUGGACUAGUCCAGUCUUCUUGGUAAUAUUUUGGAAGCACUUUGUCAUUGCCUUCAUAACCAGCCCAAGGUUAUCCAACUGGUUUCAUGCAUAAAAUGGGACUAACAUUCAUCACCAUCUACUGGUUUGUAAUCUGAUACCUUAACUACUAUACUAAACUGGCUGUCUAAAAUAACUACACAGAGUUUAAAUUAUAACAAUAAUGGUGUUUCUAUCCAAAAAUAAAAGUAUGCCUGAAGCAUAAAUCACACUGUGUAGAACUGAGAAAUUCUAGUUGUUUUUAACUCAAGGAAAAAUGAAGCACCGAUUGUACUCAGUUCCAGUCUGAAAAUGGAGCUCUGUUUCCAAUAGGUAAUUCAGAAUAUAUACAUGUUUGUGUAUAAAUCUGAUACUUUUGGAUAUAGGAAUCAAUAGAUGCACUCUAUAAGUGUCCUUAUCUUCACUCAUAAGGAUAUAGGGAAGGAUGUACCAGUAUAUAUUUGGUAUCAUACAAUAAUCCUAUUCCAUCCAGAUUCUCCAUAUAAGCGACUGAUAGCAAUUUUUGCAAAUUUUUUAUUCAUCCAUUUUCUCAUUCUUGCUUGAUCUUCCAGUUAUCUAGUUUAUCAUUUCUCUCCAUCCGAUCCUUUCAUCAUUGCACAGACACUUAUUUAUUUUGAUUAAAGGCAAUAAUUUCAAUUGCAUUAAUUUAAUUAUCUUUCAUGCAUUUAUAAUUCCUUAUAAGUUUAUAAUCUUUCUUUUUAACUAUGCAGAAUAAAUAUAUUAAUUUAUUUCUGUCAUUUAUAUGCUAUUAAUCUACAUGGGUCCUAGCCAAGUACAUCAAUAAAACAAUAAUAAAAUUAAAGCAAUAAUAAUAAUACAUUAUAAUAGCAGAACAUGCACUCUUCAUCCCUCACUUGCAGCUCUGUCUUCUUCACAAAGUUCCAGAAGGCCAUUGAAGUAAAUUCUGUUCUGAGCUUGUAUACAAAUUGGGAUGUGUCUUCCUACCUUUUUAUAGAAUUGGGCAAACUUUACCUUCCUAAUAAUCUAGGGCUCUUACAAAUUUCAUCUUAUUUAAAUUUAAAAAAAAACAAAACUGCCAGGUCCCCCUUCCUCCUUGCAAACCAACGAGGACUGAUUUAUGAUGUGAUGAUCUGGCCACUGCAUGGUCAAGAGGUCCUUGGACUGCUCUACUAAAACCAGAAAAUUACAUUGCUAAUGUUCAAUGGAAAAUCAGAUUUCAACAAAACAGAUGAAGGAGGUUACAAAAAAAAAAAAAAGUUGUAGAUGCACAUUUUCCCAGCAUCUUUCAUUUAUGCCAAUGCUGGCUAAAUAUAAGACUCCUGUCAGUUAUAGACUAUAAGUGGUAAAAAAUAGAAUGACAUUGGAAAAACACAGGAGCAUGAACUUGGAUAUGGAAUUUUUUAAAAUAAUAUAAAUAUAGAUUUAUAUAACUGCCCAUUUCACCCAAGUGACUUUGGGCAGCUUUAAUACUUUGGGUAUUAAAACACAGAAAAAAUGCAACAUAUUAGGAUUAUGGUUAGCAUCACCCCCUUACCCAAGGAUAAACAAAAGCCCCAUCAGAAGAAGAAAAAAACUAGCAGAGCUCAUCUAUCUACCUAGAUGCUCGAGGAAAUAACACCUUGGGUUGGGCUUGCAGGGUUGGGACCAUUCAAAUGUCUUGAGAUGCUGUUCCAUAGGCCAGAUGCUGCCACUGCAGAUGCUGAGAAGGUACAGCUUCAGAGUCAGACAAGAUGGUACUGUUUCUUACCUGUACAAUGAGCCAGUUUGAUCUAGUGAUUAAGGCAUCAGUCUAGAAACCAGGAGACAGUUUAGUUCUGCCUUAGGCACAAAAACCGGCUGGGUCACUCACUCUUGGCCCAACCCACUUCACAGAGUUGUGGAGAAUAUAGGAGGAGGAAAGAAUAUUAAGUAUAUAUAAAAAUAAUAAAGGUGGAAUAAUCAUUCUCAGGAGAGUACCAACUUGGAAGGAUGGUUGUUUUGUUCAUUUGUUUCUUCUGUUUGGUUAUGAUUUCUUUUUAUAGGUACAGUUAGUUUAUCUGUAAGCUGCCACAGUUUUUAAGGAGAUGGGUGGCCUUGAAAUGGGAUAAGGGAGAAAUAAAUAAACUUGCCAUGAAAUAGCACCAAGUUUGUCUUUUAAUCAAGACCAAUGUUUCUCAACCUUAACAACUUUACGCUAUGUGGACUUCAACUCCCAGAAUUCCACAACCAGCAUGACCAGACUGGUUGAAUAUUGCAACUUUCACAAACGUGGCUGAAUGAUGAUUUAUUUCUUUCAUAUUACAAAAAAUAAUAGGUGCUGGCUUCAUUCAUAUCUGAACAACAGAAGCUAAAAUUAUAACGUCUUUGGAAUACGUGCAGCUCUAGGUCUAGGCUACUCAGCAGUCAAAAUGCAUGGCUUUUAUACAGCUUCAAAGUCUAAUAAAUAUAUUUACAUCAGUUUCUAGUAUCAUGUUAUAUAAUAACAUCUAUGGUUUCUUUGAUUCAAGGAUCCCUUCUCAUUUUGUCAUACUUGUCAGUCUUAAAAAUCAGUGGCAACAUCUUAUUCUCACACCCAAGGAUCACUGCCUGAGAGAAUAUGCAUGCACAUACAUGUAGAUAUUAUAUAAUCUCUAUCACCACAAUUAGAUAUUGCUGCAGGCUUUUCUCCAUCUGUGUGCAGUGUACUUUGUAGUCAUCUGUACUAUGUCUCUUGGAAAACAUGGAAAAUAUUUUAGCUGAAGGAUGCUUAGAAAUAACAAAAAAUUAUUACAUUCUAUUACAAAAAAUUCUAUUACAUUUUCAAUUAGUAUCUUAUCAGUUGCUGGGUGCAGAAUGGCAAGCUGAUGGUAAUAUAGUAAUGUAUUUUAAUUGAUGUUUAAAUGUAUAUGUGUGAGAGAUAAGAUGCAAAAAAAAAAAAUUAAAUGUAGCUCCUGCAGAGCUGAUAGGGAUGAAUUAGACCUUAGUGGCAACUCUAGCAAUUUACCUGAACAGUAUUACUAAACGGCAAUCUAUAAAAUUUGAAAGAGGCAACAUGGGUGCAAAUAAUUAUUCAUGCUGGAAAAUGGAGAUCAGCUGAAUAUAGGCUGUUCUAGAAUAAACGUGGGUUAAUAUUCAUGCUGUGUAAUCACUCAAAACUAUUUUUCUCUAUAUAUCCUUGAUCAUUAUCAUAUAUUUUUUACCUUAACCUCGGAGUUCGGAGUAAUGUCUUUCAAAGUUCUUUUGGUUAUAUUCUUAAGUUCUUUUAUUGCUGUGCAUGGUAGAGGAUGCUACUGCUACUGUUGUAGAUUUCUACUACUACUCUUUCCAUCACUCUCUAGCCUUCCUGGAUAUUCACACUGUCCUACAAGUAGAUGAAGACAUGCCCUUUGGGAAUUUAACAAAAAUGUACAAAAAUCAAGAGCAGCUGCUGGAAAUAGGAUCGCACAGAAAAUGAAGGAUAUCCACAGAUGCCCCUUAAUUAACCUUUUCAUCUAAAUUAAUCAAAACAAGAUGGUCCACAUUAACUGAAGCUGAAUUCAAUCCAACCUUACAUACUGCAGUCUGUUAAUAAACUCGGAUCCGUUCAACCAAUCUUCCCAGCCCUGACCCAUCUGGCUUUCCAAAGGCCAAGAGAAUUUGGCUGUGAAGGCAUACUCUGAGAACAAAAGAUGGAUUGUCUUGAACAAGAUGCUGGAUCCUCCAGGCGCCCCUCCAGGGUGUUUUCAGCUUCUGUCUAACCAUGUGAUUUCAAGUUGUCUUAUGCUAUACCAUCUGGACAAGAGAAGAUGUCUGAUGUCUGUAAGAUACCUUCCAACAAUCCCUUCCUUAUAGCUCAGAAAGUCCUAAAAGUAGAACAGAUCUAGUACACAAAUUAGUAAUGGCAUAAUCCAAGCCAGCGUUUAUCCCAAAAUUUGUUUAAAAUGCCAAACUUUAAAGCAUAAAAAGCAUAUAAAGAAAUCUAUAAUUCUACUCAGGAUGAAAUGUGCAAUCCUAAAAAUUAAAAUGCUAGGACCCAGUACCUACACAAGCAUAUUAAAAGUUACAAAUUAAAGACAUAACCCUAACUAAAAAAAACACAAGCUGUAGAAGAAUAUGAUGAGCAUAAAUCAUUCUAUCAUUAUGCAUCUUGAAUUCCUCUUCUUCCAAUUAAAGCCUCUUUGCUGACUGACCAAAAGAAAUUGCAGAAGAAUUGAAAGUAGGAUAAGAAAGGCAGGGCAAACUCCAGGCAGAUUAGAAGACAAUAAUACUAUAUCAAUAUGCUGAGUUGAUGCAAUCCUAAUUUAAUGGGAUAUCUCAAUAUCUAUAUCCCCCUGCCUAACUUGAAAGAUGAUUGAAUUAAGCAAUUUCAACCACUCUAAUUUUCUAUGAUUCUUUAUUGCUCGUUUUGACUCUUUAGCACUGCCUAUUAUUAUAAGCUUUGUCUUUGCCUAUGAAGGUUCUUUAGCAACAGUACUAGAAUUAGUUUGUUAUUGCCUUUUCCGGGAGCCCUUCCAGUCUGGCCUGUAGCCAUGAUAGUCUCUCAUGAAAUACCAAUGAGGUCUCAACAACAACAACAAUUUAUUAUUACAGUCUUAGACCGGAACAAAUAAAAGCACUCAGUAUGCUAUAUAUACUUAAAACUCCUAGUAUAAAAUAAUAAAUUGUUUGUAUAGGAUUUUAUUGGCGAUAUAUGUUUGAACUUUGUGCUUUGAUAUGGCCUAUAGGCUAAUCAAUAAAGCUAUCUAUCUAUCUUA